This 465-nucleotide ribosomal RNA is filed under the name uncultured bacterium. Its description in RNAcentral is "bacterial SSU rRNA". It matches the Rfam family "Bacterial small subunit ribosomal RNA", at positions 338 to 795 of the family's 1533-position model. The record is from RNAcentral.
CCUANGGGUGGCUGCAGUGGGGAAUUUUGGACAAUGGGGGCAACCCUGAUCCAGCCAUGCCGCGUGAGUGAAGAAGGCCUUCGGGUUGUAAAGCUCUUUCGGACGGGACGAAACGGUGGCGGUGAAUAUCUGCCACUAAUGACGGUACCGUAAUAAGAAGCACCGGCUAACUACGUGCCAGCAGCCGCGGUAAUACGUAGGGUGCGAGCGUUGUUCGGAAUUAUUGGGCGUAAAGGGCUUGUAGGCGGCCUGCCAAGUCUCACGUGAAAGACCAGGGCUCAACCCUGGGGACGCGAGAGAAACUGGCAAGCUGGAAUCUUUGAGGGGGUACUGGAAUUCCUGGUGUAGGGGUGAAAUCUGUUGAUAUCAGGAAGAACACCGGAGGCGAAGGCGAGUACCUGGCAAAAGAUUGACGCUGAUGAGCGAAAGCGUAGGUAGCAAACAGGAUUAGAUACCCCGNUANUC